AGAGGCCCUCUGCGGCCCGGGCGGAACGCUUGCCUCAUCGCUGCGGCAACAAAGCAAGCAUUCCACCAGGCCACUCACACUGCCCGC
Molecule: non-coding RNA, 87 nt
Organism: Myotis brandtii (Brandt's bat)
Lineage: Eukaryota; Metazoa; Chordata; Mammalia; Chiroptera; Vespertilionidae
Source: Rfam